RNAcentral lists this ribosomal RNA (1393 nucleotides) under Leptolyngbya sp. RS01. RNAcentral's name for it is "16S ribosomal RNA". It matches the Rfam family "Bacterial small subunit ribosomal RNA". The record is from RNAcentral. Lineage: Bacteria; Bacillati; Cyanobacteriota; Cyanophyceae; Leptolyngbyales; Leptolyngbyaceae.
UGGCUCAGGAUGAACGCUGGCGGCGUGCUUAACACAUGCAAGUCGAACGGUCUCUUCGGAGAUAGUGGCGGACGGGUGAGUAACGCGUGAGGAUCUGGCCUUAGGACGGGGACAACAUUGGGAAACUGAUGCUAAUACCGGAUGAGCCGAGAGGUAAAACAUUUUAUGGCCUAGGGAUGAACUCGCGUCUGAUUAGCUAGUUGGUGGGGUAAGGGCCUACCAAGGCGACGAUCAGUAGCUGGUCUGAGAGGAUGAUCAGCCACACUGGGACUGAGACACGGCCCAGACUCCUACGGGAGGCAGCAGUGGGGAAUUUUCCGCAAUGGGGGCAACCCUGACGGAGCAACGCCGCGUGCGGGAGGACGGUUUGUGGACUGUAAACCGCUUUUAAUAGGAAAGAAGAUCUGACGGUACCUAUUGAAUCAGCAUCGGCUAACUCCGUGCCAGCAGCCGCGGUAAUACGGAGGAUGCAAGCGUUAUCCGGAAUUAUUGGGCGUAAAGGGUCCGCAGGUGGCCACUCAAGUCAGCUGUUAAAGACUGGGGCUUAACUCCGGGAGAGCAGUUGAAACUGGGUAGCUAGAGUACGGUAGGGGUAGAGGGAAUUCCUAGUGUAGCGGUGAAAUGCGUAGAUAUUAGGAAGAACACCAGUGGCGAAGGCGCUCUACUGGGCCUGUACUGACACUGAGGGACGAAAGCUAGGGGAGCGAAAGGGAUUAGAUACCCCUGUAGUCCUAGCUGUAAACGAUGGAUACUAGGUGUUGCUCGUAUCGACCCGAGCAGUAUCGUAGCCAACGCGUUAAGUAUCCCGCCUGGGGAGUACGCACGCAAGUGUGAAACUCAAAGGAAUUGACGGGGGCCCGCACAAGCGGUGGAGUAUGUGGUUUAAUUCGAUGCAACGCGAAGAACCUUACCAGGGUUUGACAUCCCGCGAAGGUUGGUGAAAGCCAACUGUGCCUUCGGGAGCGCGGAGACAGGUGGUGCAUGGCUGUCGUCAGCUCGUGUCGUGAGAUGUUGGGUUAAGUCCCGCAACGAGCGCAACCCACGUUUUUAGUUGCCAUCAUUUAGUUGGGCACUCUAGAGAGACUGCCGGUGACAAACCGGAGGAAGGUGUGGAUGACGUCAAGUCAUCAUGCCCCUUACACCCUGGGCUACACACGUACUACAAUGCAAUGGACAAAGGGCAGCGAGCGAGUGAUCGUAAGCAAAUCUCGGAAACCAUUGCACAGUUCAGAUUGUAGGCUGCAACUCGCCUACAUGAAGGAGGAAUCGCUAGUAAUCGCAGGUCAGCAUACUGCGGUGAAUACGUUCCCGGGCCUUGUACACACCGCCCGUCACACCAUGGAAGUUGGUUUCGCCCGAAGUCGUUACUCCAACCGUUCGCGGAGGAGGACGC